GCUUGAAUUUUCGUAUAUAUGAGUUCAGUUCAAUUCCUCGUGUUUAAUGUUUGAAUGUUGUCUGCAAUCCUGUUUUGUGAAUUUCUGACAUUUGAUCACUUUAUGCUCCUUGUGGUAAUAUAAUCAGUAUUGUGUGGUUCUGCAAAUUGGUUCUGCCAAAUGAACUUUGCUAGGUUACUUAAUUGAUAAUUUGUAAUGUGGAAUUAGGGUAUGUUCUGAAGCAUGGUGAGAGUAUUACUAUAUAUAUUCCUUUCUUGUUCAUUGUCCCAGAAAUCCAGAAUAUAAUCUUACCUUAAAGUUAUUCUGUGUAUUUGAUAAGCACCUACAAUGAAUAUGUACUUUCAUGAUUUUUGACUUUAAAUGCAUACAUAAAUCUCUAGGUCAUCUGUCCCACCCUUAAAGGUGCUUAUAAUUCAGCGAAAGGAUUAAUAACUGUUUCUGACGGUGGAUACCAUGGGUUGCACC
Long non-coding RNA from Ipomoea triloba (trilobed morning glory), 465 nucleotides. RefSeq lists it as uncharacterized. Lineage: Eukaryota; Viridiplantae; Streptophyta; Magnoliopsida; Solanales; Convolvulaceae. The transcript is spliced from 2 exons. The record is from RefSeq and is a predicted model, not a curated record.